GGUACCUUCUGUUCAAUGUGCCUAGCCUGUCAGAUGGCUGAGAGGUAUGGUGAAUGCUUCUGUCUCCCCCUGCUGCCAACAACUAUGAUGAUGAUGCGCACAUCAAUGAGAGAGAGAUACAACAUCCCGGGUAGUUGCAGGAAAUAUGUGCAACGUAUUUCAAGACGUCACUACAAGACAACCAAGGACUUUAGCUGGGGGCCAGUUUGCCGGGAUCCAGAAAAAGACAUGGAGCUCUGGAGUGAUGGAUUGCUGUGUCGACAGAGAUGUCUGUCUCUGUGGGUUUUUCUGUCCAUGCAUUCAGGCCAUUAAAAUGGCAGAGAAAUACGGAGAGUGUUUCCUACUCUCUCAUGUUCCAUGGACACAUUUUAUGUUGCGAACCAGCAUUCGGGAGCGGUAUAACAUAGAGGGAACCAUUUGCGAUGACUGGUGUGUGACUGCUUUCUGCGGACCUUGUGUUCAAUGCCAAAUGGUUCGUGAAGUCAAUAAGGAGAUUCCUAACUGACAGAGCCGCAAAGUGUUGUCUCCCGCACCUUGUUAUGAAAAUGUUAAUUAAAUUGUUGCAGUGAGGACCCUCAAGUUUUUGUACAACAAACUUCUUAUGGUUACAUUAGGACUGCUGUCAUCUGAAGACUAUGCCUGCAAGUCAACAAACUUUUUAUGUUCCUCUGACUAUACAGCACUAUGUGAGCACAACCCUUUAUCUAAAUCCUCAGCAGUAAGAAAAAACAAGACACAGUACCAUGUGACUGUCAGAUGUAUACAAUGUGCAAUAUAACUUAUAGUAUUUUACUAUUUAUGAUAAGUAUGUUAUUACCAGAUUAUGGCUAAUUUAAAUGUAUUCAACUACCAGUUGUUUAUAUGAAAAUACAUUUGAAAUAAGUACUACACAAGAAUAGUUCAGAAAUGAAAUUAUUGUUUUUUAACUUUUUGGAUUAUGUGUGAAUUGCUAGAUAUUACUGCACUGUUGGAGCUGGAAACAUAAGCAUUUCGCUGCACCUGCGAUAACAUCUGCAGAUCUGUAUUAUGCGACCAAUAAACUUUGAUUUGAAAGUC
Oncorhynchus mykiss (rainbow trout) is the source of this 1056-nucleotide non-coding RNA. The record is from RefSeq and is a predicted model, not a curated record. Lineage: Eukaryota; Metazoa; Chordata; Actinopteri; Salmoniformes; Salmonidae.